AAAAUUAAAGAGCCGCGGUAUAUUGACCGUGCAAAGGUAGCAUAAUCAUUAGUUUUUUAAUUGGAAACUUGUAUGAAUGGUUGGACAAAAGAGAAGCUGUCUCUAUUAUAAAUAUUGAAUUUAACUUUUAAGUGAAAAGGCUUAAAUAAUUUAAUGGGACGAUAAGACCCUAUAAAACAUUUUAUUGGGGCGAUAAAGGUAUAAGUAUUAACUGUUUUAGUAGAGAACAAUAGAUUUUUGAAAUGAUCCUUUUUAAAGAUUCAAAGACUAAGUUACUUUAGGGAUAACAGCGUAAUUUCUUUUGAGAGUUCAUAUUGAAAAAGAAGAUUGCGACCUCGAUGUUGAAUUAAAAUGUCUAUUCAGGGCAGCACCUGAACAAGAAGAUCUGUUCGAUCUUUAAAUUUUU
Molecule: ribosomal RNA, 406 nt
Filed under: Galene bispinosa
Lineage: Eukaryota; Metazoa; Arthropoda; Malacostraca; Decapoda; Galenidae
Description: partial 16S large subunit ribosomal RNA
Rfam family: Bacterial large subunit ribosomal RNA
Source: RNAcentral